Molecule: ribosomal RNA, 371 nt
Filed under: uncultured bacterium
Lineage: Bacteria
Description: bacterial SSU rRNA
Rfam family: Bacterial small subunit ribosomal RNA
Source: RNAcentral
GUAGGUGGCAAGCGUUGUCCGGAUUUACUGGGCGUAAAGAGCGCGCAGGCGGUCGUUCAAGUCGCGUGUGAAAGCCCCCGGCUCAACUGGGGAGGGUCACGCGAUACUGAUCGACUCGAAGGCAGGAGAGGGAAGUGGAAUUCCCGGUGUAGUGGUGAAAUGCGUAGAUAUCGGGAGGAACACCAGUGGCGAAGGCGACUUCCUGGCCUGUUCUUGGCGCUGAGGCGCGAAAGCUAGGGUAGCAAACGGGAUUAGAUACCCCGGUAGUCCUAGCCGUAAACGAUGGACACUAGGUGUUGGUGGUAUCAACCCCGCCAGUGCCGAAGCUAACGCAUUAAGCAUCCCGCCUGGGGAGUACGGUCGCGAGAUUA